This 245-nucleotide ribosomal RNA is filed under the name uncultured Eubacteriales bacterium. RNAcentral describes it as "uncultured Clostridiales bacterium partial 16S ribosomal RNA". It matches the Rfam family "Bacterial small subunit ribosomal RNA", at positions 524 to 768 of the family's 1533-position model. The record is from RNAcentral. Lineage: Bacteria; Bacillati; Bacillota; Clostridia; Eubacteriales.
UACGUAGGGAGCAAGCGUUAUCCGGAUUUAUUGGGUGUAAAGGGCGCGUAGACGGUUUGGCAAGUUGGUUGUGAAAUCCCUAGGCUUAACUUAGGAACUGCAACCAAAACUGUUAGACUUGAGUGUGGGAGAGGAAAGCGGAAUUCCUAGUGGAGCGGUGAAAUGCGUAGAUAUUAGGAGGAACACCAGUGGCGAAGGCGGCUUUCUGGACCAUAACUGACGUUGAGGCGCGAAAGUGUGGGGAG